This 253-nucleotide long non-coding RNA is filed under the name Microcebus murinus (gray mouse lemur). RNAcentral's name for it is "lncRNA (ENSMICG00000048257.1)". The record is from RNAcentral. Lineage: Eukaryota; Metazoa; Chordata; Mammalia; Primates; Cheirogaleidae.
CAAGAAUGGAGCUCAUCACUCCGUGCCUUUACCAACUGGUUACAGAGCUGAGAGAGUUACAAAUGGAGAUAUUUCAGGAGCAGAGGUCUCCUCACACCCUCAAAUGACAGCUGGAGGGCCAGCAGUUUUCAUCCAAGUCAGGUAACCCCUUUGAGCUUCGUUUUCCUCUUCUGUCAACUGGAAAUUAUACCUUUUGCUUCUCUUACAGUUUAGAACACUUUCACCAAUAUUUACCUAUUUGAUUCUCACAGAC